Hemiscyllium ocellatum (epaulette shark) is the source of this 237-nucleotide long non-coding RNA. RefSeq lists it as uncharacterized. The record is from RefSeq and is a predicted model, not a curated record. NCBI's taxonomy places the organism in Eukaryota, Metazoa, Chordata, Chondrichthyes, Orectolobiformes, Hemiscylliidae. The transcript is spliced from 3 exons.
AUGUCUUGUGAUGCGGUGAAAAUAUCCCGAAUCUUGACCGGGAGGCCUGGGUUCAAUUCACAGCGGGUGCAGGAUGAGGCUGUCACUGGCUCGGCCAGCAUUUAUUGCUGCGUUUACCCAGAGGGCAGUUAAGAGUCAACUGCGUUGCUAUAGGUCUGGAGUCCCAUGCAGACCAGACCAGAUCCCAGUGAUUAAUGCCAAAGCCCCAUUGCCUGGGGAGAAGGUGAUGUUUGACUU